CCACCCACCUUGGCCUCCCAAAGUGCUGGGAUUACAGGCGUGAGCCACCGUGCCCGGCCCAAUAUUAACUUUCACCUGAAAGGUGUCAGCAGCCUUUUCGACCAGCUGAACACCAUAAUCCUCUUUAAGUGGCUGAAUGGUCACACCUCUUCCAUUGACAAGCUGGGUUAAGUCAAUAGGUUGAGUAGGAUCAACACGACCCAAAUCAGUAAGAUAUUACAGUCUGUUGAUACUUAAAGGUUGAUACUGGUGUCUGAAGCUAGGUCCUUCAUUAAAUCUGUAUUUUGGGAUUCCGAUGUAAAAUAGAGUCUGGCCAUCCUCAAAGCCCAGCAGAGCCAGUUUCCUCUCUGCCUGUCUCUUUUAUGGCCUCUGCCGCAUUUUCUACUUCUUCUCCGACCUUUUGGUCGUUUCAUGGGUUUCCUGGAGCCAGGAUUCGGCUUUAAAUUGGCCAGGCUCAUGCGCAGCAGGGCCCAGAGCUGCCAUAACCUGCGAAAAGAGUUUUAUUUCUUCCUUUCUGACCUGUAUGUCUUUUGUUUCCUAAUUGCAUAGCCUAGAUCCUCCAUCUGGUACAAUGUUGAAUAGGAGUGGGCUGGCCCUACGCCCCGGGCUUCACCCAACACUGGGCGCAGGCGGGAAGCCCGAAAGGCUGGGUCAGAAGCCCAAGCGAGGGCCCAGGUGGGGCGAAACAGGCGCAGCCAAGGGGCUGGCACCUUGGCCCCCCGCCGUGGAUUCAAAGGGUCAGGCUCCGCCCCCUCCAAGCCCCGAGCCCACUUUGAUGUGCUGAUGCGGCCUGGAAGGGGCCACUUCACACCUCGGGCUCGGCAUAAAGCGGCCGCCGACCGCCGGCCCCCAGACGCGCCGCCGCUGCCAUGGCCCAGCCCCUGUGCCCGCCGCUCUCCGCGUCCUGGAUGCUCUCCGCGGCCUGGGGCCCAACUCGGCGGCCGCCGCCCUCCGACAAGGACUGCGGCCGCUCCCUCGUCUCGUCCCCAGACUCAUGGGGCAGCACCCCAGCCGACAGCCCUGUGCGGAGCCCCGCGCGCCCCGGCGCCCGCCGGGACCCCCGCGCACCCACCGUAGGUAGGCGCGGCGCGCGCAGCAGCCGCCUGGGCAGCGGGCAGAGGCAGAGCGCCAGUGAGCGGGAGAAACUGCGCAUGCGCACGCUGGCCCGAGCCCUGCACGAGCUGCGCCGCUUUCUACCGCCGUCCGUGGCGCCCGCCGGCCAGAGCCUGACCAAGAUCGAGACGCUGCGCCUGGCUAUCCGCUACAUCGGCCACCUGUCGGCCGUGCUAGGCCUCAGCGAGGAGAGUCUCCAGCGCCAACGCCGGCAGCGCGGGGACGCGGGGUCCCCUCGGGGCUGCCCGCUGUGCCCCGACGGCUGCCCCGCGCAGGUGCAGACACGGACGCAGGCGGAGGGGCAGGGGCAGGGGCAGGGGCGCGGGCUGGGCCUGGUCUCCGCCGUCCGCACCGGGGCGUCCUGGGGAUCCCCGCCUGCCUGCCCCGGAGCCCGAGCCGCACCCGAGCCGCGCGACCCGCCUGCGCUCUUCGCCGAGGCGGCGUGCCCGGAAGGGCAGGCGAUGGAGCCAAGCCCACCGUCCCCGCUCCUUCCCGGCGACGUGCUGGCCCUGUUGGAGACCUGGAUGCCCCUCUCGCCUCUGGAGUGGCUGCCUGAGGACCCCAAGUGACAGCGGACAACUGACGCCGUCUCUGUGAGCACCGAGGCUUUUUGGCCUCAGCACCUUCGAAGUGGUUCCUUGGCAGACUGCCUUUCCUGGAAGAGGGCACGGGCGAUCCCGGCAGGGGCAUUCCUGCGGGUACCUAUUAUACUCAAGUAACCAUUUUACAGAAGGAUGAGGAUCAGCGCUCAAGCCCAGACAGAAGCUGAAGCACAGGGAGCGCGAGGAACUUCCCAUAAGGCUAGUAGUGUGCAGCCCCUGGGGACGGGCCAACUGUUGGUGAAGCCUGUCUUUGCAAGAGCCCUGGCAGCAAGAGAUUCAUGAGACCAUAUUUGUCUCCUCCGGAAGGUACCGAGAGCCUCGCAGCUACAACGCACUACAAAGCAGGAAGGACUUGAAUGCCCCUGUUAAGUGCAGGUAUGAACUAGGAAGCGGAGAGGAGCUAUGGUGCCACCUAGUGAUGUUUAGAAUUUUCCCAGGCAUGAACUUGGAUUAGCAGGGAGCCAUCAUCAUGGUCAUACCUACCAUUUACUAAGCAACCACUCUGUGCCUGGUACUUCCCGUGUAUCAUCCCACUUAAUACCUUAAGCCCCAAAAAAUCAGGCAUCAUUAAAAUGGUCAGAACACAGCCUGGCAUCUCACAGGUGCACAAUAUGUGUUUUUUGACUGAAUGAGGAAACUGAGCCUCUGAGAGGCUAAGUAACUCGCCCAAGGUCUCAUUGUAAGUGGUAGUGUCAGAAUCAAACUCAGGUCUGUUUGGCUCCAGACCUGCAUAUAUUAACGAUUCUACUUCAAUCCUCCCUGAGUAAAGAGUCUACACAGAGAAAGGGGGAAACAGUCGUGAAGGGACAUUAUGGUGACUGGAGAGAUCACAGAAUCUCAGAGGUCACAUUACAUACAUAGGAACAUCUAGGCCCUGGAAGGAAAGGAGCCUACCAGAACCACCUAGUUCUGUAGUGGCAGGCCCUGGAUGAGGAUCCAGGACUCCACUGAUGACCCCAAUCCACCCAAAAUCUGUAGUCAGAUCCCAAAAGGAAUCAUCAACAAGGAUUUGCAAAU
Molecule: RNA transcript, 2732 nt
Organism: Nomascus leucogenys (northern white-cheeked gibbon)
Lineage: Eukaryota; Metazoa; Chordata; Mammalia; Primates; Hylobatidae
Gene: MESP1
Gene name: mesoderm posterior bHLH transcription factor 1
Exons: 6
Source: RefSeq, a predicted model, not a curated record